RNAcentral lists this unclassified non-coding RNA (339 nucleotides) under soil metagenome. RNAcentral's name for it is "partial contains 5.8S ribosomal RNA, internal transcribed spacer 2, and large subunit ribosomal RNA". The stretch from base 1 to 120 matches the Rfam family "5.8S ribosomal RNA", at positions 35 to 154 of the family's 154-position model. The record is from RNAcentral.
GAUGAAGAACGCAGUGAAAUGCGAUAAGUAGUGUGAAUUGCAGAAUUCAGUGAAUCAUCGAAUCUUUGAACGCACAUUGCGCCCUUUGGUAUUCCUUAGGGCAUGCCUGUUCGAGCGUCAUUUAAACCUUCAAGCUCAGCUUGGUGUUGGGUGACUGUCCGCCGCCUCCGGGCGGUCGGACUCGCCUCAAAUUGAUUGGCGGCCGGUACUUUGGCUUCGAGCGCAGCAGAAACGCGAACUCGAGGCCGUCGUCCUGGCUCCCAGAAGCUAUCUUCACAAUUUUGACCUCGGAUCAGGUAGGGAUACCCACUGAACUUAAGCAUAUCAAUAAGCGGAGGA